AUUAUUUACUGUUUGUAAUAAUGAUUUCUAAUAAUUCAAUAUCGUUUAUUAAGAAUAUUGAUAUCAUUAAAAUUUAAAUUUUCAUCUUACAACGCCAUCUUCCAGUCAAAUGUAACAUAAAAUAUUUCAGAUCGAUAAAAAUAAAUGGACACAUUGUAGAUUGCUGCACGUGUACUACACAAUUCUAUCGUCUUUUCACAAUAAACUGUAUUCAGAUAAUUUUAAUAAAACAAUUGAUAACACAAUAUGUUCGGAAAAAUGUAUAAAGAAAUUAAUAAAGUAACAGGUGUUAUAAAAGGAACAUAUUACGAUGGAUUCAAAUGGUCAGUGGUAAAAAGCAUUGCAUUUUUUGCACUGGGAGUCAAAAUUGCUUUAGAAUGCAAGGGAAUGGAUAUUAUGCCACCGGUUACAGUGUAAAACAAAUUUUAUAACAUGAUGUUUUGUUAAGCUUAUUGACAUUGUUAAUAUUUCAUUACCAGCAACAUUCAAUGAUGAAAAGUAAUAAUUUUUAAUUAAAUAGAUUGUACUAUAA
This is a long non-coding RNA of Vespa crabro (European hornet), 532 nucleotides long. RefSeq lists it as uncharacterized. Lineage: Eukaryota; Metazoa; Arthropoda; Insecta; Hymenoptera; Vespidae. The transcript is spliced from 2 exons. The record is from RefSeq and is a predicted model, not a curated record.